RNAcentral lists this ribosomal RNA (391 nucleotides) under uncultured bacterium. RNAcentral describes it as "partial 16S ribosomal RNA". It matches the Rfam family "Bacterial small subunit ribosomal RNA", at positions 523 to 918 of the family's 1533-position model. The record is from RNAcentral.
AUACGGAGGAUGCAAGCGUUAUCCGGAUUUAUUGGUUUAAAGGGUGCGCAGGCGGCCAUUUAAGUCAGCGGUUAAAUCGUGGGGCUCAACCCCAUUCUGCCGUUGAUACUGGGUGGCUUGAUUGCGGUCGAGGUUGGCGGAAUUCGUUGUGUAGCGGUGAAAUGCAUAGAUAUGACGAAGAACACCGAUUGCGUAGGCAGCUGACCAGACCGCAAAUGACGCUCAUGCACGAAAGUGCAGGGAUCGAACAGGAUUAGAUACCCUGGUAGUCCGCACAGUAAACGAUGAAUUCUUGUUUUCGGCGAUAUAAUGUCGGAGGCAAAGCGAAAGCGAUAAGUAUUCCACCUGGGGAGUACGCCGGCAACGGUGAAACUCAACGGAAUUGGCGGGG